This 513-nucleotide ribosomal RNA is filed under the name uncultured bacterium. RNAcentral's name for it is "partial 16S ribosomal RNA". It matches the Rfam family "Bacterial small subunit ribosomal RNA", at positions 28 to 523 of the family's 1533-position model. The record is from RNAcentral.
GAUGAACGCUGGCGGCGUGCCUAAUACAUGCAAGUCGAACGCGCAGCGAGAGGUGCUUGCACCUUUCAAGCGAGUGGCGAACGGGUGAGUAACAUGUGGAUAACCUGCCUCAAGGCUGGGGAUAACAUUUGGAAACAGAUGCUAAUACCGAAUAAAACUUAGUAUCGCAUGAGAUCAAGUUAAAGAGCGCUACGGCGCCACCUAGAGAUGGAUCCGCGGUGCAUUAGUUAGUUGGUGGGGUAAAGGCUUACCAAGACGAUGAUGCAUAGCCGAGUUGAGAGACUGAUCGGCCACAUUGGGACUGAGACACGGCCCGAACUACUACGGGAGGCUGCAGUAGGGAAUCUUCCACAAUGGGCGCAAGCCUGAUGGAGCAACGCCGCGUGUGUGAUGAAGGCUUUCGGGUCGUAAAGCACUGUUGUAUGGGAAGAAAUGCUAAAAUAGGGAAUGAUUUUAGUUUGACGGUACCAUACCAGAAAGGGACGGCUAUAUACGUGCCAGCAGCCGCCGUAA